GACGAACGCUGGCGGCGUGCUUAACACAUGCAAGUCGAACGAAGUGGCGAACGGGUGAGUAACGCGUAAUCAACCUGCCCUUCAGAGGGGGACAACAGUUGGAAACGACUGCUAAUACCGCAUACUGAAGGCGGGGAUUGCGUCUGAUUAGCUAGUUGGAGGGGUACCGGCCCACCAAGGCGAUGAUCAGUAGCCGGUCUGAGAGGAUGAACGGCCACAUUGGGACUGAGACACGGCCCAGACUCCUACGGGAGGCAGCAGUGGGGAAUAUUACACAAUGGGCGCAAGCCUGAUGCAGCCCUGCCGCGUGUGGGAUGAAGGCCUUCGGGUUGUAAAGCUCUGUUAAUCGGGACGCGGUACCGGAAUAGAAAGCCACGGCUAACUCCGUGCCAGCAGCCGCGGUAAUUC
This 408-nucleotide ribosomal RNA is filed under the name uncultured bacterium. Its description in RNAcentral is "partial 16S ribosomal RNA". It matches the Rfam family "Bacterial small subunit ribosomal RNA", at positions 28 to 526 of the family's 1533-position model. The record is from RNAcentral.